Molecule: ribosomal RNA, 230 nt
Filed under: uncultured bacterium
Lineage: Bacteria
Description: partial 16S ribosomal RNA
Rfam family: Bacterial small subunit ribosomal RNA
Source: RNAcentral
CGGGGUGGAGUAAUGUCUGGGAAACUGCCUGAUGGAGGGGGAUAACUGCUGGAAACGGUAGCUAAUACCGCAUAACGUCGCAAGACCAAAGAGGGGGACCUUUGGGCCUCUUGCCAUCGGAUGUGCCCAGAUGGGAUUAGCUAGUAGGUGGGGUAACGGCUCACCUAGGCGACGAUCCCUAGCUGGUCUGAGAGGAUGACCAGCCACACUGGAACUGAGACACGGUCCAG